This 231-nucleotide ribosomal RNA is filed under the name uncultured bacterium. RNAcentral describes it as "partial 16S ribosomal RNA". It matches the Rfam family "Bacterial small subunit ribosomal RNA", at positions 524 to 754 of the family's 1533-position model. The record is from RNAcentral.
UACGAAGGGGGCUAGCGUUGCUCGGAAUUACUGGGCGUAAAGGGCGCGUAGGCGGCACUGUUAGUCAGGCGUGAAAGUCCUGGGCUCAACCGUGGGAACUGCGCUUGAUACGGCAGAGCUAGAGGAUGGAAGAGGGUCGCGGAAUUCCCAGUGUAGAGGUGAAAUCGUAGAUAUUGGGAAGAACACCGGUGGCGAAGGCGGCGACCUGGUCCAUUACUGACGCUGAGGCGC